AGCAGCCGCGGUAAUUCCAGCUCCAAUAGCGUAUAUUAAAGUUGUUGCAGUUAAAAAGCUCGUAGUUGAAUUUCGGGGUUCAUCCGUUGGUCGGGCUUUUUGGUCUGUACUGGCGUGAUGGAUUCCUACCUUCUGAAUAACCGGCAUGUCAUUAAUUUGGUGCGCCGGGGAAGCAGGACUGUUACCUUGAAAAAUUAGAGUGCUUAAAGCAGGCUAUCGCCUGAAUACAUUAGCAUGGAAUAAUGAAAUAGGACGGCAUGGUUCUAUUUUGUUGGUUUCUAGGAUCACCGUAAUGAUUAAUAGGGAUAGUUGGGGGCAUUAGUAUUCAAUUGUCAGAGGUGAAAUUCUUGGAUUUAUUGAAGACUAACUUCUGCGAAAGCAUUUGCCAAGGAUGUUUUCAUUAAUCAAGAACGAAAGUUAGGGGAUCGAAGACGAUCAGAUACCGUCGUAGUCUUAACCAUAAACUAUGCCGACUAGGGAUCGGACGAUGUUAAUUUUUAAUGACUCAUUCGGCGUACCC
RNAcentral lists this ribosomal RNA (520 nucleotides) under uncultured Acaulospora. RNAcentral describes it as "SSU rRNA". It matches the Rfam family "Eukaryotic small subunit ribosomal RNA", at positions 569 to 1088 of the family's 1831-position model. The record is from RNAcentral. Lineage: Eukaryota; Fungi; Glomeromycota; Glomeromycetes; Diversisporales; Acaulosporaceae.